RNAcentral lists this long non-coding RNA (213 nucleotides) under Mustela putorius furo (domestic ferret). Its description in RNAcentral is "lncRNA (ENSMPUG00000029120.1)". The record is from RNAcentral. Lineage: Eukaryota; Metazoa; Chordata; Mammalia; Carnivora; Mustelidae.
UGAAGAAGUUUGCCAAAGAGCUGUAACCCUUCGCUGUGCUAUGUAAACCACCUACAGAAAAGGCAGAGGUCAGCGUGGGAAAAGAAGGGGCGCCUAGCGCCCAGAGUGACAACAAAAGUCGGUGCUUCCAGGCAUCUCAAGACGGAAAAUGUCCCUCAUUCAAUCUCCUCACCUCCUCAUCUCAGUCAUUUUCUGCAAGACCUUCUCUGACCC